RNAcentral lists this ribosomal RNA (897 nucleotides) under Staphylococcus sp. RNAcentral's name for it is "bacterial SSU rRNA". It matches the Rfam family "Bacterial small subunit ribosomal RNA", at positions 58 to 936 of the family's 1533-position model. Lineage: Bacteria; Bacillati; Bacillota; Bacilli; Caryophanales; Staphylococcaceae. The record is from RNAcentral.
CAAGUCGAGCGAACAGACGAGGAGCUUGCUCCUUUGACGUUAGCGGCGGACGGGUGAGUAACACGUGGGUAACCUACCUAUAAGACUGGGAUAACUUCGGGAAACCGGAGCUAAUACCGGAUAAUAUUUCGAACCGCAUGGUUCGAUAGUGAAAGAUGGCUCUGCUAUCACUUAUAGAUGGACCUGCGCCGUAUUAGCUAGUUGGUAAGGUAACGGCUUACCAAGGCAACGAUACGUAGCCGACCUGAGAGGGUGAUCGGCCACACUGGAACUGAGACACGGUCCAGACUCCUACGGGAGGCAGCAGUAGGGAAUCUUCCGCAAUGGGCGAAAGCCUGACGGAGCAACGCCGCGUGAGUGAUGAAGGUCUUCGGAUCGUAAAACUCUGUUAUUAGGGAAGAACAAACGUGUAAGUAACUGUGCACGUCUUGACGGUACCUAAUCAGAAAGCCACGGCUAACUACGUGCCAGCAGCCGCGGUAAUACGUAGGUGGCAAGCGUUAUCCGGAAUUAUUGGGCGUAAAGCGCGCGUAGGCGGUUUUUUAAGUCUGAUGUGAAAGCCCACGGCUCAACCGUGGAGGGUCAUUGGAAACUGGAAAACUUGAGUGCAGAAGAGGAAAGUGGAAUUCCAUGUGUAGCGGUGAAAUGCGCAGAGAUAUGGAGGAACACCAGUGGCGAAGGCGACUUUCUGGUCUGUAACUGACGCUGAUGUGCGAAAGCGUGGGGAUCAAACAGGAUUAGAUACCCUGGUAGUCCACGCCGUAAACGAUGAGUGCUAAGUGUUAGGGGGUUUCCGCCCCUUAGUGCUGCAGCUAACGCAUUAAGCACUCCGCCUGGGGAGUACGACCGCAAGGUUGAAACUCAAAGGAAUUGACGGGGACCCGCACAAGCGGUGGA